Molecule: ribosomal RNA, 455 nt
Filed under: uncultured bacterium
Lineage: Bacteria
Description: bacterial SSU rRNA
Rfam family: Bacterial small subunit ribosomal RNA
Source: RNAcentral
UACGGAAGGCAGCAGUGGGGAAUAUUGCACAAUGGGCGCAAGCCUGAUGCAGCCAUGCCGCGUGUAUGAAGAAGGCCUUCGGGUUGUAAAGUACUUUCAGUCGUGAGGAAGGUGUUAAGGUUAAUAACCUUAGCAAUUGACGUUAGCGACAGAAGAAGCACCGGCUAACUCCGUGCCAGCAGCCGCGGUAAUACGGAGGGUGCGAGCGUUAAUCGGAAUUACUGGGCGUAAAGGGCACGCAGGCGGUUAAUUAAGUUGGAUGUGAAAUCCCCCGGGCUUAAACCUGGGAAUGGCAUUCAAGACUGGUUAGCUAGAGUCUUGUAGAGGGGGUAGAAUUCCAUGUGUAGCGGUGAAAUGCGUAGAGAUGUGGAGGAAUACCGGUGGCGAAGGCGGCCCCUGGACAAAAGACUGACGCUCAUGUGCGAAAGCGUGGGGAGCAAACAGGAUUAGAUACC